This 273-nucleotide long non-coding RNA is filed under the name Lathyrus oleraceus (garden pea). RNAcentral's name for it is "Pisum sativum (pea) long non-coding RNA (PSAT_LNC000209)". Lineage: Eukaryota; Viridiplantae; Streptophyta; Magnoliopsida; Fabales; Fabaceae. The record is from RNAcentral.
UUUGAAUAAUAAAUCAUAAGUCAUUUGAUACACAAACAUGUUUACUUGUAGGCAUUAGUAUUACAUCAAGGCAUUUUACAUGAUUCAACCCAUAAUUCCAUUAAAUUUUAUACUACAUUACAUUAGCAUGUCACUCCAUCAUACUGAACUAAAUUGGAAAGGGAGCUUCAAACUUGCACCCCUAAAUCACCCUACCAUAAUGCAUCCAUUUGCCUUGCCAUAUCCAUUCCACUUCGAGCUUGCAAAUACCAUCUGCAGCAGACCACAAUGCAG